This 521-nucleotide ribosomal RNA is filed under the name Cytobacillus oceanisediminis. RNAcentral describes it as "bacterial SSU rRNA". It matches the Rfam family "Bacterial small subunit ribosomal RNA", at positions 807 to 1326 of the family's 1533-position model. The record is from RNAcentral. Lineage: Bacteria; Bacillati; Bacillota; Bacilli; Caryophanales; Bacillaceae.
CGAUGAGUGCUAAGUGUUAGAGGGUUUCCGCCCUUUAGUGCUGCAGCAAACGCAUUAAGCACUCCGCCUGGGGAGUACGGCCGCAAGGCUGAAACUCAAAGGAAUUGACGGGGGCCCGCACAAGCGGUGGAGCAUGUGGUUUAAUUCGAAGCAACGCGAAGAACCUUACCAGGUCUUGACAUCUCCUGACAACCCUAGAGAUAGGGCGUUCCCCUUCGGGGGACAGGAUGACAGGUGGUGCAUGGUUGUCGUCAGCUCGUGUCGUGAGAUGUUGGGUUAAGUCCCGCAACGAGCGCAACCCUUGAUCUUAGUUGCCAGCAUUCAGUUGGGCACUCUAAGGUGACUGCCGGUGACAAACCGGAGGAAGGUGGGGAUGACGUCAAAUCAUCAUGCCCCUUAUGACCUGGGCUACACACGUGCUACAAUGGAUGGUACAAAGGGCUGCGAGACCGCGAGGUUAAGCGAAUCCCAUAAAACCAUUCUCAGUUCGGAUUGCAGGCUGCAACUCGCCUGCAUGAAGC